Cyprinus carpio carpio is the source of this 1141-nucleotide long non-coding RNA. The record is from Ensembl. Lineage: Eukaryota; Metazoa; Chordata; Actinopteri; Cypriniformes; Cyprinidae.
UUCAAUUUAGUAUUUUUUUGUUCUUUGUUGGCAUAUGUCUUCCUAGAGUUCCACUGUUUGUAUCCCUUUGCUUGUUGGAUUAAGAUUUUAAAUCGACGUGUUCUCCUGCAUCUCCUUGUUCCUCCCAGAGUGAUCGUGACCGAUGCAUUCUCUUGACCAAAUCAGACAGCAAUUUAUGUAUACAGUGAGGAAAAGGCGUCUGAUUUGGUUCCACUUUAUAUUAUGUGGCCUUAACUACUUGCUUCAGAGUACAAUCCUUACUGUGUUCAUAUUGUGUUGCAAAACACUCUUGUUGCUAUGAGGUGGGAUACAGGUAAGCUUAGGGACAGGUUUGGUGUAGGGCUGUGCAUAUCCAUGACUGAUACGAUACCCAUCUUGAUGCAUAGCCUACGCGACGCACCAAGCGAAUUGGUUAAUCUUCCCGUCCCAAUUUUGGUGGUAUGGGUGGGUUAAGGUGUAAGGGAUGGGUCAACAGUGUAAUUAUAAAUGUAAGUGGACUUGUAUUUUAAAAAAUACCUUGUAUUUACAAAGUACCAAAUUAUUAAUUCAAAUGUAAAUGCAUAGUAGUUAAAGUGGAACACAAUUUUCACUUAUUACAAUUCUCAGAAAUUGCUAGUAAAGUUCAAAGAAAUGGCAAGUAAUGUGUUGAAUUAAACAUGACUUUUUUUUUUUUUUUUUUUUUGUAAUCUUUAUUUACAACUUUGAAUUUUUACAGUGUACUUUGGAGAAAGCAAUCCUAAAAUGUAUUUUGUGGAAAAGUCUAUGUAAAUAUGAGAAGCUCAGCAUAAUAAUUCAAGAUGGUGGACAAAGCAAGAGGAAUUUUUUUUAUAUAUAUAUAUAUAUAUAUAUUUUAUUAAGAUUCAAUUAAACAGUUGUUACUUUAUUCCAGUUUUUGAUUUUAAGAUAUUUCAAUUUUUUUAAAGUAUAUUAUGCUGUAUAAUAAUAAUGGCAUUAUUUUCAUGAAUAGUUAUUUGAUGAACAGUAAAUUCAGAAGAACAGCAUUUAUUUGAAAUAUAAAUCUUUGGUAACAAAGUAUCUUUAAUGUCACUUGUGAUCAAUGUAAUGCAAUGUAUUUUUCUGCUUAGUCAAGUAUUAUUUACUUUUUACAUGCAAUAAUAAUUGAUUGUGAGUAAAGCCUCAC